RNAcentral lists this ribosomal RNA (305 nucleotides) under uncultured bacterium. Its description in RNAcentral is "partial 16S ribosomal RNA". It matches the Rfam family "Bacterial small subunit ribosomal RNA", at positions 508 to 807 of the family's 1533-position model. The record is from RNAcentral.
ACAGCAGCCGCCACGGUAAUACGGAGGGUGCAAGCGUUAAUCGGAAUUACUGGGCGUAAAGCGCACGCAGGCGGUCUGACAAGUCAGAUGUGAAAUCCCCGGGCUUAACCUGGGAACUGCAUUUGAAACUGUCAGGCUGGAGUCUUGUAGAGGGGGGUGGAAUUCCAGGUGUAGCGGUGAAAUGCGUAGAGAUCUGGAGGAAUACCGGUGGCGAAGGCGGCCCCCUGGACAAAGACUGACGCUCAGGUGCGAAAGCGUGGGGAGCAAACAGGAUUAGAUACCCCGGUAGUCCCUGUCUCUUAUAC